GAUGAACGCUGGCGGUAUGCUUAACACAUGCAAGUCGAACGGACUCUUCGGAGUUAGUGGCGGACGGGGGAGUAACGCGUGAGAAUCUGGCUUUGGGUUCGGGACAACCACUGGAAACGGUGGCUAAUACCGGAUGUGCCGAGAGGGAAAAGAGAAAUUGCCUGAAGAUGCGCUCGCGUCUGAUUAGCUAGUUGGUGAGGUAAAGGCUCACCAAGGCAGCGAUCAGUCGCUGGUGUGAGAGGAUGACCAGCCACACUGGGACUGAGACACGGCACAGACUCCUACGAGAGGCAGCAGUGGGAAAUUUUACGAAAUGGGCGAAAGCCUGGCGGAGAAAUACCGCGUGAGGGAAGAAGGCUCUUGGGUUGUAAACCUCUUUUCUUAGGGAAGAACAAAAUGACGGUACCUAAGGAAUCAGCAUCGGCUAACUCCGUG
RNAcentral lists this ribosomal RNA (435 nucleotides) under uncultured bacterium. RNAcentral describes it as "partial 16S ribosomal RNA". It matches the Rfam family "Bacterial small subunit ribosomal RNA", at positions 28 to 507 of the family's 1533-position model. The record is from RNAcentral.